AUUGAACUUCUAUGCCGUAGGCUCAUUGUAUCAAAUCUGUACACAGCAACUUCACAAAUGCGGUUCUUGCUUUAGAAUCUUUUUAUAAGUGGGCCUUAACUGGUACACCCCUGCAAAACCGCAUUGGAGAAUUGUACUCACUUGUUCGUUUCUUACAAGUUCCCCCUUAUGCUUGUUACUUUUGCGAAGAUUGUAAUUGCACUGGACUUUAUUUUAGCUUCUAUGAUGCGUGCCCACAGUGCUCCCACCAACCUGCAAGCCACUUCCUCUGGUGGAAGAAAUAUAUUGAAGAACCUACAUGGUUAUUCGAUGAUGAAGGUAGAGAUGCGAUGGUGUGGUAUAAUCACAAAAUUCUGAAAAGCCUAUUGCUAAGACGUACCAAAAAAGAGAGAGCUGUUGAUCUUGCACUACCCACAAAGACUGUUAUAGUGAGAAAAGAUUCUUUGGAUGAUAGAGAAAACGACUACUACAAGACACUGUGCCGUAGAAGCCAAGAACAGCUCGAUAUAUUUGUCCAGGAUGGAACUAUGAUUAAUAAGAAUUGCCACAUAUUUGCUAUUAUCACACGACUACGUCAGGUA
This is a non-coding RNA of Solanum lycopersicum (tomato), 581 nucleotides long. NCBI's taxonomy places the organism in Eukaryota, Viridiplantae, Streptophyta, Magnoliopsida, Solanales, Solanaceae. The record is from RefSeq and is a predicted model, not a curated record.